UGCGUAGGCGGCCAAAUAAGUCAGAGGUGAAAUCCUACAGCUUAACUGUAGAACUGCCUUUGAAACUGUUUGGCUAGAAUAGAGUUGAGGUUAGCGGAAUGUGACAUGUAGCGGUGAAAUGCAUAGAUAUGUCAUAGAACACCAAUUGCGAAGGCAGCUAACUGGGCUUUUAUUGACGCUGAGGCACGAAAGCGUGGGGAGCGAACAGGAUUAGAUACCCUGGUAGUCC
Molecule: ribosomal RNA, 229 nt
Filed under: uncultured bacterium
Lineage: Bacteria
Description: partial 16S ribosomal RNA
Rfam family: Bacterial small subunit ribosomal RNA
Source: RNAcentral